AUUAAACGCUGGCGGCAUGCCUUACACAUGCAAGUCGAACGGCAGCACGGGGGCAACCCUGGUGGCGAGUGGCGGACGGGUGAGUAAAGCAUCGGAACGUAUCCUGGAGUGGGGGGAUAACGUAGCGAAAGUUACGCUAAUACCGCAUAUUCUGUGAGCAGGAAAGCAGGGGAUCGCAAGACCUUGCGCUCUGGGAGCGGCCGAUGUCGGAUUAGCUAGUUGGUGGGGUAAAGGCCUACCAAGGCGACGAUCCGUAGCGGGUCUGAGAGGAUGAUCCGCCACACUGGGACUGAGACACGGCCCAGACUCCUACGGGAGGCAGCAGUGGGGAAUUUUGGACAAUGGGCGCAAGCCUGAUCCAGCCAUGCCGCGUGAGUGAAGAAGGCCUCGGGUUGU
RNAcentral lists this ribosomal RNA (396 nucleotides) under uncultured bacterium. RNAcentral's name for it is "bacterial SSU rRNA". It matches the Rfam family "Bacterial small subunit ribosomal RNA", at positions 29 to 426 of the family's 1533-position model. The record is from RNAcentral.